Molecule: transfer RNA, 71 nt
Filed under: Candidatus Nealsoniibacteriota bacterium
Lineage: Bacteria; Candidatus Nealsoniibacteriota
Description: Candidatus Nealsonbacteria bacterium tRNA-Gln
Rfam family: tRNA
About the family: Transfer RNA (tRNA) molecules are approximately 80 nucleotides in length. Their secondary structure includes four short double-helical elements and three loops (D, anti-codon, and T loops).
Source: RNAcentral
UGCCGGGUCGUCUAAUGGUAGGACAGCGGUCUCUGGAACCGCGAAUCUAGGUUCGAGUCCUAGCCCGGCAG